Molecule: ribosomal RNA, 555 nt
Filed under: Alternaria alternata
Lineage: Eukaryota; Fungi; Ascomycota; Dothideomycetes; Pleosporales; Pleosporaceae
Description: eukaryotic LSU rRNA
Rfam family: 5.8S ribosomal RNA (bases 201-354)
Source: RNAcentral
CAGGCCCCCGUAGGUGACCUGCGGAGGGAUCAUUACACAAAUAUGAAGGCGGGCUGGAACCUCUCGGGGUUACAGCCUUGCUGAAUUAUUCACCCUUGUCUUUUGCGUACUUCUUGUUUCCUUGGUGGGUUCGCCCACCACUAGGACAAACAUAAACCUUUUGUAAUUGCAAUCAGCGUCAGUAACAAAUUAAUAAUUACAACUUUCAACAACGGAUCUCUUGGUUCUGGCAUCGAUGAAGAACGCAGCGAAAUGCGAUAAGUAGUGUGAAUUGCAGAAUUCAGUGAAUCAUCGAAUCUUUGAACGCACAUUGCGCCCUUUGGUAUUCCAAAGGGCAUGCCUGUUCGAGCGUCAUUUGUACCCUCAAGCUUUGCUUGGUGUUGGGCGUCUUGUCUCUAGCUUUGCUGGAGACUCGCCUUAAAGUAAUUGGCAGCCGGCCUACUGGUUUCGGAGCGCAGCACAAGUCGCACUCUCUAUCAGCAAAGGUCUAGCAUCCAUUAAGCCUUUUUUUCAACUUUUGACCUCGGAUCAGGUAGGGAUACCCGCUGAACUUAA